This 1608-nucleotide long non-coding RNA is filed under the name Heterocephalus glaber (naked mole-rat). RNAcentral describes it as "lncRNA (ENSHGLG00100051510.1)". Lineage: Eukaryota; Metazoa; Chordata; Mammalia; Rodentia; Bathyergidae. The record is from RNAcentral.
CCUGGUCCAGCACAGGGCCAGCACCAUUGGAGGGAAGAUCAUCGCGCUGCAGCGUCCCUUGGCCAGAUGCUUUCCCGCAGAGACCAGUGGUCUGAUUACUUCCAUAUGUACCAAGGUACCGGGGAUCCAACUCGGGCCUUGCGCUUGUGAUGUAGGCUGUGGAACCACUGAGCUAAAUCCCUUGGCCCUUACAUAUUUUAUUAUUAGUUGUAAAUUAUGCAUGGAAUAUCCUUUAUACCAGUAAAAUUUAUAAUGAGUAUCUUUUUCCCCCAAAGAGCUGGAUGUUAAACAUUUACCAGUAUACUGCUUCAGCCAAUCAAGGUGGACCUAAAGGUAACAGGCACGUGGAAUGGGCAAAGGAAGAGAGAAGACAGGACUACCUCAACGUUAAGAGCAGAAAUAGAGACUAUAAGCUCUACUCCGAUUUUUUUCUUGCAAUGCCACAUACACAUUUUAAGUGAUUUGCUUUUUUUCCCUCUUCCUUUACUCCACUGUUGUUUACAGAGUGUGCUGCUUGUUGAGAAAGGAUUGUGAGAGAAAUAGUAUCCUUUAGAUACUGUAGAUGAAGAACUAGAAGAAGGAAUUGAAGAACUGUGUUACGGUUUAUAUCUAGAUGUACCCCCAAAACCUCAUGUGUUCAAAGGUGGGAUGUGGGCAGGGUCAUUGGAUUAUGUGGGGUUAUAGCUGACUUGCUGUUAGGACUCAGGGUCUGGUCAGAAGAGGCGGGUCCCCGGAGGUAUGGCCUGGAAGGGUUUGUCUCCUUCCCCAACUCCUCCCUUUUCUUUCUGCUUCCUGUCCACCAUGCCAUGAACAGCUCCCAUCUACCAUGCUCCACUGCCAUGCUGCUCUGCUUUGGAGCAGGCUGAGUGUAGACUGAAACCUGGGCCACAAAUACUCCUUCCUUAAUCUGUGGGUAUUGGGUAUUUUGUCCCAGGAACAAGGAAAGUAAGAUAAACUGGAUUAUUUCCUUUGGGAGUGGUGUAGAUUCCAUUAUUUGAAGUGGUUGUGUUUGUACUUAUGCAUUUAAAAGUAUAAGAUGAGUCUUCAGGGAUGCUGAUCACCCAGCCAAAGUGGUAGAGAGUCCUGUCAUCCUUGCAUCCUUUUCUGUGUGUGGGGAAUGGUCCACAGUGUAAUUCAUCCUGGGAAAAUGAGUUUUGCCUCCACAUAGGGAAACUAGAAUAUAUGCUUUUCCCUACCCUUGAGGGGUGUGUGUGUGUAAAAAAUUACAUCCUUCUAUUUGGAAUUUUUGCUCUGGAGACAGAGAUAGGCAACAGUUUAUAAUUCUUGAUAGCUUUUGCCAUGGUAGACAGAGUCCAGAGAUGGCUUCCUUAAUAGACUUUCCCUAUGAUGUAAUUUUAGCAGUAGAUCCAACUGCUCAGCUUCCUUUGUAUCCUACCAUUUUCAGAGCCAAUUUUCAAACCUUCCUGUUAAUUCUAUAAACUGUUCAAUAAAUUGCAAUAAAUUGAUUUUCUGCUUAAGGUAAGUAGAGUUCAUUUCUGUUGUUGAAGUUAAUAAAAUAUGCCCAGAAGGAAGCCUUUUGAAAGGCUUUUGAAAUCAUGCUGUGAUUUCAGAAUGGAGGUGGUUCCUAAUAGGACCCCUGGCUGGAGC